UCAAAUUAGAUAGGCGUGGCCAUGAACAUGAUGCAGACAUUAAUGAUGAAGAAGGUAAAGUAGACAGUGAAGCAAGUGAUGCGGUUCGUGAUAGCAGAGAUAAAAGUUGCAAGUCAUGAGCAUGCAGAAAUAGGAGCAUGGAGUAAAUUAUACUCAAGUGUUUGCCCCUGUUAGCAGAAUGGGUAUUAUGAGAAUGAUCGUAGCUAUUAGGAGUUGUAGGAAAGAAAGAGAGAAUAGAAAUGAUGGAAUGUUUUCAAAAUGCAUGAGUUGGUGAGGAAUUUGAGUUCUCAACGAGAUAUUUCUCAAGAUAAUACUCACAAGAUAGUUCUCUUUUGAACGGGAUUCAGGGCAUAAUUUAGUGCAACUAAAAUUAAUUUGUUCAAGAGAUUAUGUACACUUCCAUUAAAAACAUUAUCAGUCAAAACAAGACUCUUGAGCUUUUUGAAAGAGGAAAUUGAUGAUGGAAUUUUAUCAUAC
RNAcentral lists this long non-coding RNA (477 nucleotides) under Medicago truncatula (barrel medic). RNAcentral describes it as "lncRNA gene26947". The record is from RNAcentral. Lineage: Eukaryota; Viridiplantae; Streptophyta; Magnoliopsida; Fabales; Fabaceae.